UCUGCAUGUACAUUCGCAUACUAGAAGAGG
RNAcentral lists this non-coding RNA (30 nucleotides) under Mus musculus (house mouse). Lineage: Eukaryota; Metazoa; Chordata; Mammalia; Rodentia; Muridae. The record is from RNAcentral.